Molecule: ribosomal RNA, 482 nt
Filed under: uncultured bacterium
Lineage: Bacteria
Description: partial 16S ribosomal RNA
Rfam family: Bacterial small subunit ribosomal RNA
Source: RNAcentral
AUUGAACGCUGGCGGCAUGCUUUACACAUGCAAGUCGAACGGUAACAGGCCGCAAGGUGCUGACGAGUGGCGCACGGGUGAGUAGUGCAUCGGAACGUGCCCAGUCGUGGGGGAUAACUACUCGAAAGAGUAGCUAAUACCGCAUACGAUCUAUGGAUGAAAGCGGGGGACCGUAAGGCCUCGCGCGAUUGGAGCGGCCGAUGUCAGAUUAGGUAGUUGGUGGGGUAAAGGCUCACCAAGCCAACGAUCUGUAGCUGGUCUGAGAGGACGACCAGCCACACUGGGACUGAGACACGGCCCAGACUCCUACGGGAGGCAGCAGUGGGGAAUUUUGGACAAUGGGCGCAAGCCUGAUCCAGCAAUGCCGCGUGCAGGAAGAAGGCCUUCGGGUUGUAAACUGCUUUUGUACGGAACGAAACGGCUCUGGUUAAUACCCGGGGCUAAUGACGGUACCGUAAGAAUAAGCACCGGCUAACUACGUG